CCAGUGCAAAGCUGAGUGUACUCAUCAUUGUGGGAGUAGCUUCACUGUAAUGAAGUGGUGAUUCAAGGGAGUUGGCUAAGGAACAUAUAACAGAUCUCAGGCAAUCUGAAAUUCAUUUCAGGAGUUUGAUAAGCAUCAUCAUGAAGAGAUGGAAAGGGUGGACAGCAAAGUGAUUACAAAGAGGAGGAGGGUACUGCAAAAGCUGGAAUUUGGUGAAGCUUACAAAGCCAUCUGAUUUGGAUUUGCAACAUACUCCAUGGUUUGAUGGGAGAUCGGCUUUGUCACAUCUUUGUUGGCAGAACAAGAGUCCCAGAGUUUUAACAUCAACAACUGGAUGGAUGCAAUUCAAAAGGAAAAUUAAACACUUCCAAAUUGCUCUGCUGAAAUGACAUUUUUGGGACAAAUGAAAACAGCCACAGGACAAAGAGAGUGAAAAUUUACUUACAAGAGUAAGCUGAAACAGAAGCCAAAAAUAUCUGCUCAUUAAUCACAUUUUGGAUCCAGACUUCCGAGAAAAAUACAAUGGAAACUUUCUUAAUCAAGGGUUUUGAAACAACUGGGAUUCCUGUUUAAAUAUAUCAUAUAGAUGGUUAUUCUUGUUGCAUAUUUUAUACAUUUACAGAUGUUUACUGAUAUUGUAAUAACGAGCAGGAAAUAUUAUAAGUUGUUAAAACAGAUGGUCCAGUAUUUUAUCAGAAAACCUGGAAGUUGUGUACAGAUUGAUAAUAUAACAGUUAUAGCAAUGUCAGAUUGAUAGGUUUUGUGACAGACCAGAAAAAAUACACAAUAACUUCUUCAUGUAUAUCGUUGCAUAAUCGAGGGCUUCUGUUGAAUCAUUCUACAUUCCCUAGCAGUACUUUGCUGAACUCCCUUUGAAAUAGUAGCUUUUAACAUUAUUAAAUAAAUGUCAUAAACGUUUGAACCAUAUGAAAAGUUACAACAACAUUCAAAAUUGAUCAACAGGCAAGACAAAAAAAUGAAAAACUAAUUUUACAAAUAUACCUGAAGCACUUUGGUUUUGGCUAUCCAUAGGCUUCAGAAAAAUAAGAAUGGGCCCCCUGUGGAUAAAAUUAGUAACAGCUGUUUGGCAUUUUCAGAAAGUUGUUAGCUUUUUCUUCAAGGCUUUUUCAUUUGCUCAAACAGCUUCAAAGCAAAAUCAUUUAAAUUCUCAUUCUUUUUUAUUUAUGCUUUUCCUCGAUAAAAUCCUUGGCAAGGAAAGAAUAAUGAUCCAACCCCCAGAUUGCCAACGGAUAGUAACAGAGCUCAAAUGUCUGUGUAGUGAAACAGAUGAGGAGGGGUGUGGUGGUAGUAUGAGAAGGGGUCCCUGUUUACUAGAUUUCCAUGGUCUGCCCACAUCUGGUACAGCUCAUCCUGUUGGAUCUCCUGAUAGAAUCAUAGAGAUUUACAGCAUGGAAACAGACCUUCAGUCCAACUUGUCCAUGCCAUGCAGAUAUUUCUAUAUUAAUCUAGCCUCAUUUGCCAGUAUUUGGCCCAAAUCCCUUUAAACCCUUUCUACUCAUAUACCUAUCCAGAUGCCUUUUAAAUGAUGUAAUUGUAUCAGCCUCCAUCACUUCCACUGCCAGUUCAUUCCACACACACACCACACUCUGUGUUAAAAAAGUUGUCCCUUAGGUCCGUUUUAAAUCUUGCCCCUCCCAGUUUAAACAUAUGUCCUCCAGUUUUUGACUUCUCUACCCUGGGGAAAGACCUUGGCUAUUUACCCUAUCAGGCACCUCAAGGUUUUAAUUUCUGUAAGGUCAUCCUCAACUUCUGAUACUCCAGGGAAAAUAGCCAAUCUAUUCAGCCUCUUUCUAAAGCGCAAACCCUCCAACCCUGACAACAUCCUUGAGAAACUUGAAAGAGUUCAGAAAAGAUUUACAACAUCCUUCCUGUAGCAGGGAGACCAGAAUUGAACAUAAUAUUCCAAAAGCGGCCCAACCAAUGUCCUGUACAGCUGGAACAUGGCCUCCCAAUUUCUAUACUCAAUGUGCUGACCAAUAAAGGCAAGCAUACCAAACUAUUUCUUCACUAUUCUAUCUACCUGUGAGUCUAUUGUCAAGGAACUAUGACCCUGCACUCCAAGGUCUCUUUGUUCAGCAACACCAUCCAGGAUCUUACCAUUAAAUAUACAAGCCCUGAUUUGCCUUUCCAACAUGCAACUCCUCACAUUUAUCUAGCUUGAACUCCAUCUGCCACCUCUUGGCCCAUUGGCCGAUCUGCCCAUCUGAUCAAGAUCCCAUUGUACUCUGAGGUAACCUUCCUCACUGUUCACUACACCAUCAAUUUUGGUGUCAUCUGUAAACUUAUUAACGAUAUCUUCUACAUUCACAUCCAAGUAAUUUAUAUUAAUGACAAAAAGCAGUGGACCCAGCAUCGAACCUUGUGGCACACCACUGGUCACAGGCCUCCAGUCUGAAAAGCAACCCCCUCCCAGUACCCUCUCUCUCCUACCUUUGAGCCAAUUUUGUAUCCAAAUGGCUAAUUCUCCCUGUAUUCCUUGUGAUCUAACCUUGCUAACCAGUCUACUAUGCGGAACCUUGUCAAAAACCUUACUGAAGCCCCUAUAGACAAUAUCCACAGUUGUAGCUUCAUCAAUCCUCUUCAUCACUUCAAUAUUACAUUAUACUGUAAACAAAUUUUAAAAGAUGUUCUGACUAAGGGUAAGUAACAUGCACUGAAAAAUAUUUUGAUUUAUUCAUGAGUUGUGAUCAUCACUGGAGAGAUCAGUAGUUAUUGCCAAUCCCUAAUUGUCUUUGAGAAGGUGGUGAUAAGAUGGUAGUGAACAGCUUGCUCAAACCACACAGUCCACAUGUUGUACAUGCUGAUACUAUGGGGCAGUGGUAGUCAUGGAAAUCUGUCAAUCUUAGCUCCAUUGUUCUAAGAGAAAGAAAUUCAACAAAGAAGUUUGGACCUUGGUUUUGUUACUAGCAUUCUUUCGAUUCAGUAGCUUUCACAGCACUAACAGUUAAUUUGCCUCAGCAAUUACCAAUGAAAUAUUUACAGUAAGUGUGGAUGAUUGACUCUGACUUUACUUAUGAUCACUAUUCUGCUUAGUGCCGUUAAUUAAAAGCUCAUUAAAACAGAGUGGUGUGAAUAAUGCUUUGGUGUGAGUCUCACAAAUAAAAUAAUU
Long non-coding RNA from Stegostoma tigrinum, 3130 nucleotides. RefSeq lists it as uncharacterized. The record is from RefSeq and is a predicted model, not a curated record. The transcript is spliced from 4 exons. Lineage: Eukaryota; Metazoa; Chordata; Chondrichthyes; Orectolobiformes; Stegostomatidae.